AAUAGAUACCCGGGUAGUCCAUGCCGUAAACGUUGGGCACUAGGUGUGGGGCUCAUUCCACGAGUUCCGUGCCGCAGCAAACGCAUUAAGUGCCCCGCCUGGGGAGUACGGCCGCAAGGCUAAAACUCAAAGGAAUUGACGGGGGCCCGCACAAGCGGCGGAGCAUGCGGAUUAAUUCGAUGCAACGCGAAGAACCUUACCAAGGCUUGACAUGCACGGGAAGCCACCAGAGAUGGUGGUCUCUUUGGACACUCGUGCACAGGUGGUGCAUGGUUGUCGUCAGCUCGUGUCGUGAGAUGUUGGGUUAAGUCCCGCAACGAGCGCAACCCUCGUCCCAUGUUGCCAGCGGGUUAUGCCGGGGACUCAUGGGAGACUGCCGGGGUCAACUCGGAGGAAGGUGGGGAUGACGUCAAAUCAUCAUGCCCCUUAUGUCUUGGGCUUCACGCAUGCUACAAUGGCCGGUACAAAGGGCUGCGAUACCGUAAGGUGGAGCGAAUCCCAAAAAGCCGGUCUCAGUUCGGAUUGGGUCUG
RNAcentral lists this ribosomal RNA (531 nucleotides) under uncultured bacterium. Its description in RNAcentral is "bacterial SSU rRNA". It matches the Rfam family "Bacterial small subunit ribosomal RNA", at positions 777 to 1307 of the family's 1533-position model. The record is from RNAcentral.